GUUCCAGGAGCACGGUGGUUGUGCGUCGGAUUGCAAUUCUAACACAGAAUAACCAUCCGCAGGUCGCCUGUUCAAUCCAGGCCUGGAACU
Naganishia onofrii is the source of this 90-nucleotide non-coding RNA. NCBI's taxonomy places the organism in Eukaryota, Fungi, Basidiomycota, Tremellomycetes, Filobasidiales, Filobasidiaceae. The record is from the annotation of a GenBank genome assembly.